Molecule: long non-coding RNA, 290 nt
Filed under: Anser brachyrhynchus (Pink-footed goose)
Lineage: Eukaryota; Metazoa; Chordata; Aves; Anseriformes; Anatidae
Description: lncRNA (ENSABRG00000016526.1)
Source: RNAcentral
CUUCUCAAUACAGUAGAACCCUGGUGGUACUACUUUACUGGGAAUUAGUUUAGCAGUGACUGAAGUUCAGAAGCUGGCAGCUUUCUUCCCAGCCCUGAAAAAUAAAACAAAAAACAAACAAGCAACAACAAAAGUAAAACAACCUCAGAAGCUGAAGUGCAUGCAGGUCUGCCAGGAGCUGACAAGAUGCUUACACCUUUGAAGGGAAGACUUUAAACCUGAGAAGCAACAGGUUUUUUGGCACUUUGUGGGGCUUAACUGUACUGCAGUGAGAAGAAUGUCUUCUGAUG